This is a long non-coding RNA of Lycium ferocissimum, 527 nucleotides long. RefSeq lists it as uncharacterized. Lineage: Eukaryota; Viridiplantae; Streptophyta; Magnoliopsida; Solanales; Solanaceae. The record is from RefSeq and is a predicted model, not a curated record. The transcript has 3 exons.
UUGGAUACUCUUAAUGAUGUGAGGCCUUUUGGAGAAAACCGUGCGAGCUUGGCCCAAAGCGGACAAUAUCACAUCAUGUUAAGAUGUGGGUGGCACACAGACAUGUUGAAUCUCUGAUCCGUGGUAUGAUAAUGAGCCACGUGGAACUUAGUUCGAGGGGGAGAUUGUUGGGUGUGCGAACAAAGUACCACAUUGGUAGCUGGAAAGAAAAAAAAAGCUACUUAUAAGGAGUUGGAUACUCUUAAUGAUGUGAGGCCUUUUGGAGAAAACCGUGCGGGCUUGGCCCAAAGCGGACAAUAUCACAUCAUGUUAAGAUGUGGGUGACACACAGACAUGUUGAAUCUCUGAUCCGUGGUAUGAUAAUAAGCCACGUGGAACUUAGUUCGAGGGGGAGAUUGUUGGGUGUGCGAACAAAGUACCACAUUGGUAGCUGGAAAGAAAAAGAAGCUACUUAUAAGGAGUUGGAUACUCUUAAUGAUGUGAGGCCUUUUGGGGAAAACCGUGCGGGCUUGGCCCAAAGCGGACAA